GUCAAGAUUGCCACAAGGCAUAUGUAGGUACAUGUGUUUGUAGUAUCAGUUAGUAAGUUACACGUAGCUAAGAUACUGUCAUCAAUGUACUGAGCAUGUGCAGGAAUGCAGGAACUGGAAUUACGUCUCCCUCUCCUUUGUUUCAGAUGAGCCACGUGGUUAGACUGGAUGGAUGAGUUUAGACUCUGUUCAUUGAUUAGGUUAAGGGUAUGUGUGGGAGUAGCUAAUUAUGGGAGGAGCUACAGUGCUAUAUAAGGAAUGUACUCCAUGUAUUCAGUGCUCAGAAUUUUG
Pelobates cultripes (western spadefoot toad) is the source of this 291-nucleotide non-coding RNA. The record is from the annotation of a GenBank genome assembly. Lineage: Eukaryota; Metazoa; Chordata; Amphibia; Anura; Pelobatidae.